GACGAACGCUGGCGGCGUGCUUAACACAUGCAAGUCGAGCGGUAAGGCCCUUUCGGGGGUACACGAGCGGCGAACGGGUGAGUAACACGUGGGUGACCUGCCCUUAGCUCUGGGAUAAGCCUGGGAAACUGGGUCUAAUACCGGAUAUGACUCCAUGACGCAUGUUGUGGGGUGGAAAGCCUUGUGCGGCUAGGGAUGGGCCCGCGGCCUAUCAGCUUGUUGGUGGGGUGAUGGCCUACCAAGGCGACGACGGGUAGCCGGCCUGAGAGGGCGACCGGCCACACUGGGACUGAGACACGGCCCAGACUCCACGGGAGGCAGCAGUGGGAAUCUUGCGCAAUGGCGAAAGCCUGACGCAGCGACGCCGCGUGAGGGAUGACGGCC
RNAcentral lists this ribosomal RNA (384 nucleotides) under uncultured bacterium. Its description in RNAcentral is "bacterial SSU rRNA". It matches the Rfam family "Bacterial small subunit ribosomal RNA", at positions 28 to 416 of the family's 1533-position model. The record is from RNAcentral.